RNAcentral lists this unclassified non-coding RNA (337 nucleotides) under soil metagenome. Its description in RNAcentral is "partial contains 5.8S ribosomal RNA, internal transcribed spacer 2, and large subunit ribosomal RNA". The stretch from base 1 to 120 matches the Rfam family "5.8S ribosomal RNA", at positions 35 to 154 of the family's 154-position model. The record is from RNAcentral.
GAUGAAGAACGUAGCGAAAUGCGAUACGUAGUGUGAAUUGCAGAAUUCAGUGAAUCAUCGAAUCUUUGAACGCACAUUGCGCCCUUUGGUAUUCCAAAGGGCAUGCCUGUUCGAGCGUCAUUUGUACCCUCAAGCUUUGCUUGGUGUUGGGCGUCUUGUCUCCAGUCCGCUGGAGACUCGCCUUAAAGUCAUUGGCAGCCGGCCUACUGGUUUCGGAGCGCAGCACAAGUCGCACUCUUUUCCAGCCAAGGUCAGCGUCCAACAAGCCUUUUUUCAACUUUUGACCUCGGAUCAGGUAGGGAUACCCGCUGAACUUAAGCAUAUAAUAAGCGGAGGA